GAUGAACGCUGGCGGCGUGCCUAAUACAUGCAAGUCGAGCGAACAGACGAGGAGCUUGCUCCUCUGACGUUAUCGGCGGACGGGUGAGUAACACGUGGAUAACCUACCUAUAAGACUGGGAUAACUUCGGGAAACCGGAGCUAAUACCGGAUAAUAUAUUGAACCGCAUGGUUCAAUAGUGAAAGACGGUUUUGCUGUCACUUAUAGAUGGAUCCGCGCCGCAUUAGCUAGUUGGUAAGGUAACGGCUUACCAAGGCAACGAUGCGUAGCCGACCUGAGAGGGUGGUCGGCCACACUGGAACUGAGACACGGUCCAGACUCCUACGGGAGGCAGCAGUAGGGAAUCUUCCGCAAUGGGCGAAAGCUUGACGGAGCAACGCCGCGUGAGUGAUGAAGGUCUUCGGAUCGUAAAGCUCUGUUAUUAGGGAAGAACAAAUGUGUAAGUAACUAUGCACGUCUUGACGGUACCUAAUCAGAAAGCCACGGCUAACUACGUG
RNAcentral lists this ribosomal RNA (497 nucleotides) under uncultured bacterium. RNAcentral's name for it is "partial 16S ribosomal RNA". It matches the Rfam family "Bacterial small subunit ribosomal RNA", at positions 28 to 507 of the family's 1533-position model. The record is from RNAcentral.